GGCCUUCCUCUAGCUCAGCCGCACAAUCCAACGAAAUAUUAAGAAUUUACUACAAGACCUAAACCAAAACAUUUGACUAGUCUUAGUAUAGGCGAUAGAAAAGACACCCCCCCCCCGACGCGAUAGAGAUCCUGUACCGUAAGGGAAAGAUGAAAUAAUAAUGAAAACCUAAAGCAAAAAAUAGCAAAGAUUAACCCUUGUACCUCCUGCAUCAUGAUUUAGCAAGAAUAACCAAGCAAAGUGAACUAAAGUUUGCCUUCCCGAAACCCAAGCGAGCUACUUGCGAGCAGCUACCUGUGAGCGAACCCGUCUCUGUUGCAAAAGAGUGGGAUGACUUGUUAGUAGAGGUGAAAAGCCAACCGAGCUGGGUGAUAGCUGGUUACCUGUGAAACGAAUCUAAGUUCCCCCUUAAUUUUCCCCAACGGAAGAGACUAACCUGAAUGAGAUGAUUAAGAGCUAUUUAGUGGGGGUACAGCCCCACUAAAAAAGGACACAACCUCCACUAGCGGAUAAACCACAUUGCUAAUCUUACUGUGGGCCUUAAAGCAGCCACCAACAAAGAGUGCGUCAAAGCUCAGCCACCCAAAGAUAUCGAAACAAAGUGACUCCCUUACCACAAACAGGUUAACCUAUGAACAUAGGAGAAUUAAUGCUAAAAUAAGUAACUUGGGACUACACUCCCUCUAACGGCGCAAGCUUACAUAGAACAUUAUUAACAGACAACUUAUAUGAAAACUCCUACAAGACUGCAUAUUACAUAACACUGUUAACCCGACCCAGGAGCGCCUACUAAGACGAUUAAAAUCUGUGAAAGGAACUCGGCAAACUAAUCAGGGCCCGACUGUUUACCAAAAACAUAGCCUUCAGCUAACAACAAGUAUUGAAGGUGAUGCCUGCCCAGUGACUUAAGUUCAACGGCCGCGGUAUCCUAACCGUGCAAAGGUAGCGCAAUCAAUUGUCCCAUAAAUCGAGACUUGUAUGAAUGGCUAAACGAGGUCUUAGCUGUCUCUCACGGAUAAUCAGUGAAAUUGAUCUCCCUGUGCAAAAGCAGGGAUGUGAACAUAAGACGAGAAGACCCUGUGGAACUUAAAAAUCAACGACCACCGCGGAAGACAAACUAAACCCAACGGGCACACUACCCUCCAGACACUUGGUCGACAUUUUUCGGUUGGGGCGACCUUGGAGAAAAACAGAUCCUCCAAAAACAAGACCACAUAUCUUUACCUAGAGACACCUCUCAAAGUGCUAAUAGCGACCAGACCCAAUAAAAUUGACUAAUGGACCAAGCUACCCCAGGGAUAACAGCGCAAUCUCCCUCAAGAGCCCAUAUCGACAGGGAGGUUUACGACCUCGAUGUUGGAUCAGGACAACCUAAUGGUGCAGCCGCUAUUAAGGGUUCGUUUGUUCAACGAUUAACAGUCCUACGUGAUCUGAGUUCAGACCGGAGCAAUCCAGGUCGGUUUCUAUCUAUGUGAUACUCUCCCUAGUACGAAAGGAUUGGGAAAGUGAGGCCAAUACUGCAGGCAUGCCUCCCCUCUAAAUAGUGAAACCAACUAAACUAUGAAGAAGACCAACACCACUUAAUCCACUAGUCCUAGAAAAGGACCA
RNAcentral lists this ribosomal RNA (1608 nucleotides) under Dendrocygna javanica (lesser whistling duck). RNAcentral's name for it is "large subunit ribosomal RNA". It matches the Rfam family "Bacterial large subunit ribosomal RNA". The record is from RNAcentral. Lineage: Eukaryota; Metazoa; Chordata; Aves; Anseriformes; Anatidae.